UUGAAGCCCUACCAAAGGGGCUCUUCCUCUUCACCGCUCGUUCACACACACGCAGACACGCCGCCCUCUCCAUUCUCCUGAGCCGCUCUCUCCCCAUCCUUCGAUUCGUUCGUCAAGCUCCGGUGGAAUCGUGGCCGACGGCCCGCGACGACACAGGGUUUAGGAGUCCCGGCGGCGAUGGCGGCGAGGCUGGCGCAGCUGCGCGCUAGGCGGAGCUCGCCUCGAAGCACGGCGGCGCGUACUACAAGGAGGUCAUGGAGAAGAACAAGCAGUACGUCGUGCAGCCCCCCACCGUCGAGAAGUGCCAGGAGCUCUCCAAGCAGCUCUUCUACACCCGCCUCGUAAGGUGAAGUACUCCUGCCUCUCCGUUGUGGUGUACCGUUCCGUCGUUCCGAUUUGCCAAAUGGGUUCUGUUGUGUGUGGUGCCACGUGAUCUGUUCGUGCGCGUAGUAAAUAGUAACGGGCUUUGUUCUGACUGAUUGUUUGAUGGGUGUGAUGCAAUGUGGUUAAUAUUUUCUCCCUGCAAUUAGCUACUGUCCCAAUCACCUAGUAUGAUGAGACCUGGUUGGGUCCAUACCAGCAAUGGUUGGACCAAGGCUUUGUGUGUGAAAUUCCGUGAGUGGAUUAAGAUUGUUAGUUCUGUGUAGUGUAACUGACCUUUUGUAGGUAGUAUAGAAUAUUUAUGUUCUUCAUUUUCGAGGGCACCAAUGCUUGGCUUGUCCUCCUAGGUUUGUUCGUGGCUUCACUGUUUAUGACUUCACACUUAAUAUGACUUAAUCAUGCGUCUUAUAGCUUCUAGGCAAUGUGAUAAAGCUCUCAUUUAUAUGCAAUGUCUGUAUUUCCAUGUUGUCCUUCAAGAUUAGUCCUGCCAAUUCUGUUAAUUCAAGUUUGUUUUAGUGGAUUAAAUACAAUUUUGGAGCUUUAUAGCAGAAGGGACCUACGGAACAAUGCUCUUAUGCUCGAUUACCAAUAUCUGUAACUAUGUAUUCCUAGUAAUUUUUCUGCAUCUCGAUGGAUCCAUCUUGUAUUGAUACAUAUGGAUAGAGCACUCUCAGAUCGAGACAUGGUUGGGUUAGGGUUCGAUCUGGAAUUUGAGGCCGGGGGUUAGGGUUCAGGAAUUUUGGCUGGACGGCCGACGACGAGGCCGUGAGUAGAUGCUCCAAGAUCUAUGUGGAGGUCUACACCUCCUUCCUCUCCCUCAGCCUCGACACGGCGGCUGUGCGCCUCCCUUCUCUUGUCUGCGUAGAACCUGUUUGAGAAAAUGCAUGUGUGGCUUGUUCGAAGUAUUGCUUACAGGUAUCAUCGCUUGCUCCUAUGUUGCAUCCAGGAGAAGCUAUAUAGCAAGGAGAUAACGAUGGCCGGCCAGGAGAUGGUGAAGGAGCAUGUGGACUAGGUGUUGCUUGAGCCCGCCAACGCGGACGUUGCCUUCCUUGUGGUCAGUGACCCAUUUGAGUAACAUAUGCUUUGCUUCUAGUCCCCUUUUUUUGAGCUGAUUGUGUUAGUUUUAGAUCGUAUGUAGUUCUUUUUUCAGUUAGGUGAAACCCUGUUUUAUGUGUAAACAAAUAUAUUUCUUCAGUUAGACAACAUCCUAUUUUAUUAUGGAAGAUGAGAUAAAUUAAUAAUUAUAUCAAGUUGGAUGCGUACAGAGAUGACAUAUCUGCAAAACUUGAGGUAUAUUAUUCUCUAUAUUUUCUUUCCAAAGCAUGCUGCAAUGCAACAUGAUUAGGCAAUAAUCAUCUUUUCAAUUAGGCAGUACUACUCUUAUCAUUAUGCAAUGCUACUAUUUAUGGUCCGGUUGAUGAUUUUCUAGAUUGCAAGUUACUUGAUUAUUUUAGUGUACGGGUUAUCUUGAACUACUUUUUUUCAUGUUUAUACCAUUUAUAAAAUUGUUUUAGUGACAGAUGCUCUAUGCAAUCUUAGGCCCUCUUUGGCAGGGCUCCAGCUUCGGCUCUUUUGAUGGCUUCUGCUGGAGCCCUGCCAAACAGGGUGUUCCACAAUGGCUCCGUUGAAGAGGCCGCAGAUUUUCCGCUAAGAGGAGCCGUGAGACGGAGGAGCCAAAAAAAAAACUGGCUCCUCGCAGCUCCUCCGCCUAGCCUGCCAUGUUUGCUCCCAUGGCCUCUUCGUGUGCUCUGCCUCCUCGCGGCAAUUGACGUCCGCAGCCUCCUGCUGCUUACCCUCGGUGAAGCUUGAGACCGUGGUGGUGGGCGGCGGCGGAGGCGGGCACGGCCGGCGGUGGGUGCGGCUGGCUGUGGGAAGCCGCGUGGGGGUGGGCGCGGGAGGCCGCGCGGUGGCGGGCACGGUCAGCGGCGGGAGCCCGUGCGGUGGGGGCGUGGGCGGCAACUGGAGGCUGAGCGGCGGCUUGCGCAGGAGGCCGAGCAGAGGGCGGCUGCUGGAGGCCUAUCGGCAGGGAGCUUGGCAGAGAUGGAUCGAUGGAGCCGGUGGAUGGAUAAGGAGGAAUGAGGAUGGAAGAAAAAGAAAAGAAAGAAAAGAAAUAGAAAGGAGAAAAAAUAGAAAAUAUAAGGGUAUUAUGGACAUGUUAUCAUUUUGAACAACUGGAGAAGCCGUUUUACCAAACGUUUUGCUAACCAGACAAUUCGGAGCCAAAAAAAGCAGUUCCACCAGAGAAGCCGGAGCCGUUUUAGCCACAGUCGGAGCCGCACCAAACAGGCUCUUAAUAUAUGCAUGAUCUCGCUACCCUACCUGUCCCCCUUUUUGCUAUAUGAGAGACUUUUUCGAUUGGCUAGUUCGAGCUGCUAUGUAAUCAGUAAUAAUACUCAUUUGUGGGAUUUUCAGAAUUCAUGAUUCUCAAAAGCCAUUGUAAUCCUAUUGUUUGAAUGUAUAGAAUAGUUGCUUUUCCCA
Panicum hallii is the source of this 2859-nucleotide long non-coding RNA. RefSeq lists it as uncharacterized. The record is from RefSeq and is a predicted model, not a curated record. NCBI's taxonomy places the organism in Eukaryota, Viridiplantae, Streptophyta, Magnoliopsida, Poales, Poaceae. The transcript is spliced from 2 exons.